UAACUCCUGGCCUCAAACCAUCCUCCUACCUUGGCCUCCCAAAGUGCUAGGAUUACAGGUGUGAACUACCAUGCCCAACCAAAAGCCAAAUCGUUUUAUUCUUGAAAAAGGACUCAACAAAUCUGGGUUGAGUUAUAUGUUGACUCCUUUUGAACUCAGAGUAACCCUGAAAAGUCCUGUAGCAUUUUAAGGAUAAGCAAGGCCUGAGCAAGCUACUGAAGCAGGAACUGAGAAACUGAACGGAAAGAACAAGAGAGAAAGGAACAAAUCCAGAGGCAUGUGGACCAAAGGAGAGAGUUGAGGGACGGGGUCUCAAUAUGCUGCUCAAGCUGGUCUCGUACUCCUAGGCUCAAGAGAUAUCCCUUCCUUGGCCUCCCAAAGUGCUGGGAUUACAGGCAUGAACCACUGCACCGGGCCUAUUUUCUUGACUGUGA
Molecule: long non-coding RNA, 434 nt
Filed under: Pan troglodytes (chimpanzee)
Lineage: Eukaryota; Metazoa; Chordata; Mammalia; Primates; Hominidae
Description: long non-coding RNA NONPTRT000652
Source: RNAcentral